Arabidopsis thaliana (thale cress) is the source of this 1069-nucleotide long non-coding RNA. RefSeq annotates it as other RNA. The record is from RefSeq. Lineage: Eukaryota; Viridiplantae; Streptophyta; Magnoliopsida; Brassicales; Brassicaceae. The transcript has a single exon.
UUGGUGGCUUGCAACAACCGGACUGCAAAUUAACAACAACAAUUACAUAUCAUAAACCGCAAUAUUAAUAACUCUUUUAUCAUAAGCAGGUAAAGAAGAGAGACACUAAACAGUGAACACUCUAAGUAACAAUUAUUACAACCACAAUAUUAGAUUAUUAGGCUCAUAAAUAUAAUAAUCAACACCAAAAUAUAUAUAGCAAAAGAAUCUUUCAUAAAGAAAAUAAACAAAACAGAGCAUUUCUAGAUUCAAGAUUUAUGACAAAACAAGAACUUGAACAACUACACUUUUGAACGUUCCAUGCAUCUUCAUCAUAUUUUUGGUUACUCACGUGUAAAGCUGGGAAUUUGAACAUAUAUAUGUCUACUUUAAUAGAAAAAUUUCAAAAAUACAACAAAGAAAUAAUUAUUUGGGUCCAAAAAAUUGUAUACUUUUGUGGGUCGCUCCAAAAGCUAAUAAUAGAUUUUAACAUAUGAGAACAAAACUGCAAAGGCCAGAAAUAUUUCUGGCAAAUAAGAAUCGAAGCUUAGAAUCAUUGUUCAAGGAAUCAUACCUUUUUUACAUGCUUAAAAUUGUUUCAUUGGCUUCUACACAACAAUCAAUCAAUCAGGUCAAAUAAACUAAUAAAAUAAUUUUUCUACAUUUUAUUAUCUUUUUUUUUUUUUGAUGGAGUAAGCUAGAGGCAAAACUAAAUCAGAUCUAUACUCCAAUACUCAUAGUCAACUAAGUUAAUUAAUAAAAAAUUAACACAAAGUUUCUUCACUUGGAAAAAAAAAGAUAAUAAUUAUCUUUUCAAUAAUUGAGUCUCCCUCGUCAUAUGGGUCAUGAACACAUGGAGGACCUAAAUUGUUAUUUCAAGAAAAUAAAAUUUAAAGCAUGUCCCCAAAAAAACUAAUAUCAAGAAACUUAUCAAAAAAUUUAUGAAUCUGAAUAUCACUAGAUUUGAUUCUAAAUCAACCAGAAGAAAGAAAAAAAGAUAACAUCAAAGAGAAAAAUAAUUCUAGAAAGUUUUUUGUUUUUGAAAAGUAAUAAUUAUAGAAAGUUACCUCAACAGGGCUAAGUCUUCUAA